RNAcentral lists this long non-coding RNA (358 nucleotides) under Mytilus galloprovincialis (Mediterranean mussel). The record is from RNAcentral. Lineage: Eukaryota; Metazoa; Mollusca; Bivalvia; Mytilida; Mytilidae.
AAAAAUGUAUUUGUAGCGCUCUCAUGUGUUCGAUUCUUUCCAGAUAUUUUCAAAACUUCUAUCAUAGAUUAAAUCAGUAGUAUCUGUUACAAAAUUGUAAAUCAGUGACGACCAAUUAUUAAUAAAAAUUAUGUCCUUUGGAAAUAUUGAUUAUAUUGAAAAUUGAUAGUUCCUUAGAUAAAAGCUGAGCUGUUCAAGAAAUCGUUUCUUAAACUCCUUAUGUGUUUAUUGGUACACGCAAAUCAACAUAAAGCAAUAAUCAAUAUAAUACAACACUCAAAUCAUAAAAUGGGAGUAGCCACUUGCAAAAGAUAAGUACUAUUUUAUUCAGAUAAUAAGUACACGAAUUCUUUUUAUA